AUUCCAGCUCCAAUAGCGUAUAUUAAAGUUGUUGCGGUAAAAAAGCUCGUAGUUGGAUUUCUGUUGAGGACGACCGGUCCAUUCAAUGAGUGCGUAUCGGUUCGGCCUUGGCAUCCUUGACGAAAUGGUUUCUGCGCUUGACUGCGUGGUGCUAGGUCGUCAACUUUUACUUUGAGGAAAUUAGAGUGUUCACGGCAGGCUAUCGCCAGAAUACAUUAGCAUGGAAUAAUACUAUAGGGUUUUGGUCCUAUUUUGUUGGUUUCUAGGAUUGAGAUAAUGAUUAAUAGGGACAAUUGGGGGCAUUCGUAUCAACACGUCAGAGGUGGAAUUCUUGGAUUGUGUUGCGACGAACUACUGCGAAAGCAUUUGCCAAGGAUGUUUUCAUCA
RNAcentral lists this ribosomal RNA (387 nucleotides) under Syndiniales sp. RNAcentral describes it as "partial small subunit ribosomal RNA". It matches the Rfam family "Eukaryotic small subunit ribosomal RNA", at positions 582 to 975 of the family's 1831-position model. The record is from RNAcentral. Lineage: Eukaryota; Dinophyceae; Syndiniales.